UUUACCCCAUUUUUCUCAUUUUCUUCUAACAACAGAACAGAUGCUGGCCCAGAUGUGGAAAAUGCAGAAGUUUGCCAGCUUCAGGAUAACUCCAAAUUCGUAACUGUACACGGCAUUCCGCAGAUCUCUCAGUUUGCUUUUUGAGGGGAAAAAAUCUCCCCUCCCCCAAAAGUGGAUGACUGGUCUCUGAAGGUGCCACUGAUCUAAUCCCAGAUGGCUGAAUGAAGUUCCUGGAUGAGGGGUGCUCAGUGGCUGCCUUUACCACGGUAGGCAUUUCAAGGCCAUGCUACAAUUCGCCAUCUUCAGACAUUACCCAGAUGCCUUUCCAGUGGAGCUCACGCACACACACACACAAACAAAAAAACAAAAUACAACGGUCUCCAACAUACUAAACAGCUGUCUACAAGAUCAGAAAGCAUCAGAAAAGACCCUAAAGAGUUGUGUAAUCCCAGAGGAAGAUCUUGUUGAAAUGGAGAAGCGCUUGCAGCAGAAACCUUGGAAAUUUCAGGGAGUGGGAUUUUAUUGUCAGAACUUUCAAUGAACAGGCAGCCACAGAUCCUGGGAGCGUUAAAUAAAAAUUACCAACAAGCUGUCUUACCUGUGUGC
This 606-nucleotide long non-coding RNA is filed under the name Ursus maritimus (polar bear). Its description in RNAcentral is "lncRNA (ENSUMAG00000015714.1)". Lineage: Eukaryota; Metazoa; Chordata; Mammalia; Carnivora; Ursidae. The record is from RNAcentral.